This 424-nucleotide long non-coding RNA is filed under the name Coturnix japonica (Japanese quail). Its description in RNAcentral is "lncRNA (ENSCJPG00005004876.1)". The record is from RNAcentral. Lineage: Eukaryota; Metazoa; Chordata; Aves; Galliformes; Phasianidae.
AUGAAGGAAUAUGUCAGAGGAGUGGAGAUAAAACAGGAUGGCCGAUGUCCCACCUCCUGCGGCCUCUCACAUCAGAGUUGCUUGGAUUUUGGAUACAAGAAGAGUGUGGAAAAGAAUGCUAUCUACCCAGAGUUUCCCAUGGCUGAAAGACAAGGACAGCCACAUGCCCGUGCAAGGCUGAACAUUGUCCAGACUUCCUCCAACCUCAAUGGCAACAGGCACCACAGAGAAAAAUGUUGAUAUCCUGCCUCUCUAUAAACAACACUCUUCAGUUUCCUAUGGAACACUGUGAAACAGAAAGAAGAGAAAAAUUUACUUUCAUGUAGGCAUGAGGUACAGACAUGCAGAAGCUGACUGAUACACUAGCCUUAACAUUUUGCACAACUGCUAUAAUAAACUCUUCUCAGUGGACUUGAUUUUAACA